UUUCUUUCUGAAUUUCUUUCUGCGUCUUAUUUUCUUUCUGAAUUGUACCAUUUGUCUAAUCACUCUUUUCACUGACUCAUUAUCAGAAAUGAUAUGAAGGUUGUUGAAUUAGGGUGUUGAUUUCAGAAGUAAUGUUAUAGAAAAUGGGAAUUGUUCCCUUUCUUAAAAGCAAUAGUUGACAAUUUUAUUUUAUUUUUUUCUGAUACAGUGUUGAAGUUCCUGGGAGAGGGCAACUUUAAUUUAUAAAGAGUCGUUAACAUUCACUUCCUCUAACAAAAGCCUUUGAAGUUUCCUGAGUUUCUGGGAAGGCCUGGUUUCCCCAAAGGAAUGAUUUCUGGUAGAAGUCUGAAGGUCUGACCCAAGAAAAAAACUCCAGUAUAGCCAAUGAAUUGAGGACAAGAAGGUUUCCAAUCAGUGUGAUCCCAGAAGUCUCACCAAGAGAUGGUGUUGAUUCUUCUCAGUGCAAGAGUUGCUCCACCUCUCAGAGAGGAGGAACAUCAGAAGUGCCAGCCACCCUACAUAAGCUCCAAGUCUCAUCCUUUCAAAGUUCCUUUCCUGUAGUGCAACUUCUGCACAUUCAGAUGAUCUCUGGUCCAUUUUAUCAGGGAUCAUGAUUGACUGAUGGCUCCAGUUACUAUUACCAGCACAGGACAGAGCCUGGUGUGGCCAAGAAAGCGGGCCAUUCCUGUGAAUACAAGACUGCCCCAACAGGCAUACUGUUGCUGCGUUUAACCUCACUGAAGCCAGACUAAUCUAGAGAUGUUCUUAGCUUCCUGUGACUCAUAUGAAGGUUAUCAUUUUAGAAGAGACCUUGAAAACAUACUCUGGAUUUAGGGGGGAAAAAAAACUCUGACAUUUCCAAGAGGAAAAGCUUUUUUUAAGUUUUAUAUUGUAGAUGCAGAGCUUAAAGCAUUUAAACACAUACAGCAAGCAAUAUAAUAUGAAUCAUGUAACAAAAGUUAAAUUUAAGUGAAAACCUUGUGUGGUAUGUUGCAGUCACAAAAGAAGAUACAAAAUUAAUGUGGACACCUGCUUGUUUUACUUGUAUCAGGAGAAAAUAAAAUUAAUUGUCAUUUAAUGAAUUGCUUUCUGUUGUAGCACACUUAAUUAUCUCUUCCUGUAACCCCAAGAAGUAUCUUUUCAAACUCACAGCUGUAUCUGAAUAGGGGCUACCAACUAAAGAGAAAACACUUCACUCUGCUUCUUUUGUGGAUUAACAUUUAAAACAAAAGAUGAACAAAGUAGGAAGUAGGCUCGUUUAUACGCGAUCCGUCCCAGUGUAUUGACUGUUUCCUUGCCACAGGUGAUCACAGGCUUAGGCAAACCCAGACCGUAUUUAGCUGUUGGCCUUCUGUUUCCCUUAACACAGGAGAUGAAUGCUAACCCCUUUUCCAGCUAGCUGCAUGUGGAACAGUUCUGGCUUCAGUCCCCUGCCACCUGCCAGCUCUGGGAUCUCAGGGUGCUCCUGGGAGAAUCAUAGGAAUGCGGAUGAACCCCUGAAAGAGACCUGAUGGUGCAGAGAAGGCAUCCGACAGAGGAUCAUGAAGCAGAGAGCAAAGAAGUGGGGUUGAAAAGAGGGAGGUAUACGCGGAGAUUGUUUUUCAUCUCAAAAUGUGCCAUUGUAUUCUACAUUCUCCUUGAAACAUUUCAAGGGCUCCAUUUGCAUAUAUUAGAUGCUUACUUCUUUUCACAUCAUGUUCUCCAUUCCUACCGAAUUACGUGUCAAUCUAUGAACUGUUUCUCCUUUGUACUUCUGUCACUUUAGUACAUUAACAAUUGCAAGUAGAGGUUUUCCACAGUGUGUUUUCCUCUUGGUACAACUUCUUUUGAAUCUAUCCUGUGUAUACAGAAAGAUCUCAAGCGUGUGGGCCAGUCAGAAUGAAGCCAAGCCCGCACUGGUGGAAGUCUACAUUCUAGAAGGGCUCCAAAGACACAAGGACACACAGUUGCAGUGAUUACAGUACUCAAACCUACCUAGAUUAGUUGCAAAGAUACUUCUUUAGCACUAUUUUCACAUUAAUUCUAUUAUUGUUUAAAUAUAAUUGCGUUUCUCUAGUUGAUGUAAGUAAAUCCUUUGCUUAAAAUAUUUCAUUUUGUUUCAACUGUUAAUUUGUUUUCUGAAAUGAGUGUAAUAAAUACAAAUUUUUAUUUGUCCUAACAAUUAAAAUGCAUGGAUUAACCCCCAGCUUGUACAAAUGCAGAAUCAUUACUAUCCCUAACAAUGUAAAACUCUGACAAAUUAGAUAUCACUAUUUCUUAAGGAAAAUUGAUCAUAAGAUAAUUUUUGGACCUAAAAAUCUGCAUUUGUCUCAAGCACAUUUAACAUGCAUUCAUGGGAGAAGGAUCAUCUUUUUUCUGUUUCAUAUACAACUCUGUUAAGUGGAUAUCUUAUGUUUUCUUACAUUUCCUGCAUAUAAUUUAAAGGAAAAAAAAGCCAUCCAAAAAGAGAAUAGAGGGAAUGAAUGUCUCAAUCCUUUUUUAAUUGUAUCACUGAUUCUUGGGGGGGUAUAGUGUGAUAGCUUCUGUAUUUUCUUUACUCCCUCCCUCCCCAAUUUUACUGAGUUGUGGUUGACUAUAACAUCGUAUAAGUUUAAAGAGUACAACAUAAUGAUUUGAUACAUGCAUAUAAUGUGAAAUGAUUACCACAAUAAAUUUAGUUAACAUCUGUCACCUCA
Molecule: long non-coding RNA, 2675 nt
Organism: Orcinus orca (killer whale)
Lineage: Eukaryota; Metazoa; Chordata; Mammalia; Artiodactyla; Delphinidae
Exons: 8
Source: RefSeq, a predicted model, not a curated record